UUGCAAGCCUCCAGCAUGUUUGGGUCUACAGUGACCCUGUGCAUUCCUACAGUGCCUGCGAGAAAAGUUUUGAAAUGGUCUAAGGCCUCUGCUCGGUCUACAGAGCAAGGUAAUAGAAAUAUCAGACCAUU
Molecule: small nucleolar RNA, 131 nt
Filed under: Dasypus novemcinctus (nine-banded armadillo)
Lineage: Eukaryota; Metazoa; Chordata; Mammalia; Cingulata; Dasypodidae
Description: Small nucleolar RNA SNORA9 (ENSDNOG00000026028.1)
Rfam family: Small nucleolar RNA SNORA9
About the family: ACA9 is a member of the H/ACA class of snoRNA that guide the sites of modification of uridines to pseudouridines.
Source: RNAcentral